This 460-nucleotide ribosomal RNA is filed under the name uncultured bacterium. Its description in RNAcentral is "partial 16S ribosomal RNA". It matches the Rfam family "Bacterial small subunit ribosomal RNA", at positions 338 to 795 of the family's 1533-position model. The record is from RNAcentral.
CCUACGGGAGGCUGCAGUGAGGAAUAUUGGUCAAUGGACGAGAGUCUGAACCAGCCAAGUAGCGUGAAGGAUGACUGCCCUUUGGGUUGUAAACUUCUUUUAUAUGGGAAUAAAAUGUUCCACGUGUGGGAUUUUGUAUGUACCAUAUGAAUAAGGAUCGGCUAACUCCGUGCCAGCAGCCGCGGUAAUACGGAGGAUCCGAGCGUUAUCCGGAUUUAUUGGGUUUAAAGGGAGCGUAGGUGGAUUGUUAAGUCAGUUGUGAAAGUUUGCGGCUCAACCGUAAAAUUGCAGUUGAAACUGGCAGUCUUGAGGACAGUAGAGGUGGGCGGAAUUCGUGGUGUAGCGGUGAAAUGCUUAGAUAUCACGAAGAACUCCGAUUGCGAAGGCAGUUCACUGGACUGCAACUGACACUGAGGCUCGAAAGUGUGGGUAUCAAACAGGAUUAGAUACCCGAGUAGUC